This is a long non-coding RNA of Olea europaea var. sylvestris, 582 nucleotides long. RefSeq lists it as uncharacterized. Lineage: Eukaryota; Viridiplantae; Streptophyta; Magnoliopsida; Lamiales; Oleaceae. The record is from RefSeq and is a predicted model, not a curated record. The transcript has 3 exons.
UGCUUAGUACUGCUUUGAUUUAUAAGGAUGUUUUUUCGCGUUUGAAACAGAGGGAGUCACGAUAUACAUGUUACCCUAGUGAUGGUGAUUGGGAUUUAGCAAAAGAAAUAUGUGAGAAGUUAAAGGUUUUUUUUUUUUUUUUAGGUUACUGAAUUAUUUUCAGGAACAAAGUAUCCAACUGCUAAUCUCUUCUUUGCAAAUGUUUGUGAUAUCAAACUGUCGUUGUAUGAGUGGCUUGAAUCUCCAUACAUGGAAGUUCAAAUGAUGGUAACCAGUAUGAUGGAAAAGUUCAAUAAGUAUUGGAGCAAUAUUCAUGGAGUUUUGGCUUUAGCAACAGUGCUGGAUCCGAGGAAAUUCUGCACCGUCUGCAUAUUUUGGAAGUUGCUCCAUGGUGAAUGAUGAGGAUGUUGAUGAGGAGGAUCCAUCUUCUACAAUCUCUGAACCUGUCGAUGAAUGAAGUUAUAAAGAUGGAAAAAUAUCAAAUUUAUUUUUGGAUAAAGAAGUGAAAAAUAGUUACAAUGUAAUUGUAUUUUUAAGUAUUUAUUUUUGGAUUUUGUUUGUUUCGAAUAUUUAAUUUGGAUG